UUGGAGAAGGGAAGUCGGUACACCAGGAAGGACCGCUCACCUGCAAACUCAGGGUUGGCGGCGGGACUCCAGGACCCUGGGUCCAGCCUGGAGGUGGUGGACCCGCCGCAGCUGGGCAUGUUCACAGAGGGUGAGCUGAUGUCGGUUGGCAUGGACACGUUCAUCCACCGCAUCGACUCCACCGAGGUCAUCUACCAGCCGCGCUGCAAGCGGGCCAAGCUCAUUGGCAAGUACCUGAUGGGGGACCUGCUUGGGGAAGGCUCCUACGGCAAAGUGAAGGAGGUGCUGGACUCGGAGACCCUGUGUUGGAGGGCCGUCAAGAUUCUCAAGAAGAAGUUGUGAAGGAUCCCCAACGGCGAGGCCAACGUGAAGAAGGAAAUUCAGUUGCUGAGGAGGUUACGGCACAAAAACGUCAUCCAGCUGGUGGAUGUGUUAUACAACGAAGAGAAGCAGAAAAUGUACAUGGUAAUGGAGUACUGUGUGUGCGACAUUCAGGAGAUGCUGGACAGCGUGCCCUAGAAGCGCUUCCCACUGUGCCAGGCCCAUGGGUACUUCUGCCAGCUGAUCGACGGCCUGGAGUACCUGCACAGCCAGGGCAUCGUGCACAAAGACAUCAAGCCGGGGAAUCUACUGCUGACCACCUGCGGCACCCUCAAGAUCUCCGACCUGGGCGUGGCUGAGGCACUGCACCCGUUUGCGGCAGACGACACCUGUCGGACCAGCCAGGGCUCCCCGGCGUUCCAGCCCGCCCCUCCCCCCCCCCCCCCCCCGAGAUUGCCAACGACCUGGACACCUUCUCCGGCUUCAAGGUGGACAUCUGGUCGGCUGGGGUCACACUCUACAACAUCACCACCCCUUCGAAGGGGACAACAUCUAUAAGCUGUUUGAGAACAUCAGGAAGGGGAACUACGUGAUCCCAGGUAACUGUGGCCCCCGGCUCUCCGACCUGCUGAAAGGGAUGCUUGAUUAUGAGCCGGCCAAGCACAGCUGGUUCCGGAAAAAACACCCACCAGCUGAGGCGCCGGUGCCCAUCCCACCGAGUCUGGACACCAAGGACCAGUGGCGCAGCAUGACCGUGGUGCCAUACCUGGAAGGCUUGCACGGUGCCGACGAGGACGAGGACCUCUUUGAUAUUGAGGAUGACAUCAUCUACACUCAGGACUUCACGGUGCCCGGACAGGUCCCAGAAGAGGAGGCCAGUCAGAACGGACAGAGCUGGGGCCUGCCCGAAGCCGUGUGCAUGAACAGCACGGAGACGGCGCAGCUGAGCACCAAAUCCAAGGCGGAGGGCCGGGCCUCCAACCCCGCCCGCAAGGCCUGCUCGGCCAGCAGCAAGAUCCGCCGGCUGUCGGCCUGCCAGCAGCAAUGAGGGUGUACGCCAGGCCCUCCGUCUUCCUGCCAGUCCCGCCCUCCUGGAGAGGUGGCCGCCUGCCUCUGUGCUGACCGCGCCCCAGGACCUCAGGAGCCCCUGCAGGGCCGGGCCGAAGGACCGCAGGGACCCGGCGCAGCUGUGUCCGCCGCCCGGCAGGGCCCGCAGCUGUUUGACUUGGUGGCCCCGGGCCGGUGAGGGAGGCGGGAGGCGGCCCGAUGCACUUUACGUGGAGACUGCUGGCCCCGCCGUGGCCUGAGCUGCGCAGACCCGCGCCACGGAGACCAGCCUGUCCCACCAUGCAGCGCCGCCCGGGAGCCGCGGAGGCCGCCUCAGUUUUGUUUGGUGGUUUCUAUGAGGACAGAGAAGAAUCAAGAAUGACUCCUAGGUUUGAACUUAAAUAUCUGGAUGAAUGAUAAGUCACUUACUGAAAU
RNA transcript from Callithrix jacchus (white-tufted-ear marmoset), 1803 nucleotides. It is a transcript of the gene named serine/threonine-protein kinase STK11 pseudogene, with no coding region annotated. The record is from RefSeq and is a predicted model, not a curated record. Lineage: Eukaryota; Metazoa; Chordata; Mammalia; Primates; Cebidae.